Molecule: ribosomal RNA, 983 nt
Filed under: uncultured Bacteroidota bacterium
Lineage: Bacteria; Pseudomonadati; Bacteroidota
Description: bacterial SSU rRNA
Rfam family: Bacterial small subunit ribosomal RNA
Source: RNAcentral
CAGCAGCCGCGGUAAUACGGAGGAUGCAAGCGUUAUCCGGAUUUAUUGGGUUUAAAGGGUGCGUAGGCGGAUUAAUAAGUCAGUGGUGAAAACCUGCAGCUUAACUGUAGACUUGCCAUUGAUACUGUUAGUCUUGAGUACGGUCAAGGUAGGCGGAAUGUGUAAUGUAGCGGUGAAAUGCUUAGAUAUUACACAGAACACCGAUUGCGAAGGCAGCUUACUGGGCCAUUACUGACGCUGAGGCACGAAAGCGUGGGGAGCGAACAGGAUUAGAUACCCUGGUAGUCCACGCCGUAAACGAUGAUCACUCGCUGUUGGCGAUACACAGUCAGCGGCUAAGCAAAAGCAUUAAGUGAUCCACCUGGGGAGUACGGCCGCAAGGCUGAAACUCAAAGGAAUUGACGGGGGCCCGCACAAGCGGAGGAACAUGUGGUUUAAUUCGAUGAUACGCGAGGAACCUUACCUGGGCUUAAAUGUAGAGUGCAUGAGGUGGAAACAUCUCUUCCCUUCGGGGCUCUUUACAAGGUGCUGCAUGGUUGUCGUCAGCUCGUGCCGUGAGGUGUCGGGUUAAGUCCCAUAACGAGCGCCACCCCUAUCGUUAGUUGCCAGCGGGUAAUGCCGGGAACUCUAACGAAACUGCCGGUGUAAACCGUGAGGAAGGUGGGGAUGACGUCAAAUCAGCACGGCCCUUAUGUCCAGGGCUACACACGUGUUACAAUGGCCGGUACAGAGGGCAGCUACCUGGAGACAGGAUGCGAAUCUCCAAAGCCGGUCUCAGUUCGGAUCGGAGUCUGCAACUCGACUCCGUGAAGCUGGAUUCGCUAGUAAUCGCGCAUCAGCCACGGCGCGGUGAAUACGUUCCCGGGCCUUGUACACACCGCCCGUCAAGCCAUGGAAGUUGGGAGUACCUGAAGUCCGUAACCGUAAGGAGCGGCCUAAGGUAAAACUAGUGACUGGGGCUAAGUCGUAACAAGGUAACCGUA